Pelobates cultripes (western spadefoot toad) is the source of this 217-nucleotide non-coding RNA. NCBI's taxonomy places the organism in Eukaryota, Metazoa, Chordata, Amphibia, Anura, Pelobatidae. The record is from the annotation of a GenBank genome assembly.
GAGGCGUCAUCCUCUCUACCCAAUGGCUCUAUCCGGUCUAUCUCGGAUUAUGCUAUUGAAUUCCGUACCUUGUCUGAUGUGCAUUAGGGCAGUGGAGGCGUCAUCCUCUCUACCCAAUGGCUCAAACGUGAGCUUGAAUUCGGCAAGGAAUUCCUGGUAAUUAUGAGCUAUGCUCCGAUUACUCUCCCACAACGGAUUAGCCCAGGCAAGGGCCUUG